AGAUUCCACUGAUUGAAAAUUCAAAAGUUUUUAUUUUGAUAAAAGCCUGAAGUCCAUCACAGUCCUAAUAUGCACCUCCCACCCAAAGCACAGCCACGAUCAUGCUCCGACGUAUUACCAGACCUCAGUUUUCAUGGCCAACGGAACAUUAGCAUGCUUAUUGCUCUCACCGAUUAUCCCCACUAUGUACGCUACAUUAGCAAACUGUACGAUUGGCCAACCCCCUGCCUGCACAAUCAACAGAGAGCGUGAAUGAAUGAUCAGCCAUUAGCAGGUCGGGUGUGAACUGUGAAAAUGGGCUCUCACACCAAUGACUGCAGGAGGCCUUGAUUUGCUUUAGCCUAGCCUAGCGUCCUGCUAGCAGGGGCCUGCACUUGUUACGCUGUGGCAGGGUAUCAGCUAGCAUUAGCCUGCUCUGCCCAAUGUAAUGCAGUGGAAUACAGACUAGUGUAGCGUGCUGAAGCCCAGUCUAGUGGAGUGCUGUGUGCAAGAUCAUAGUAAGACUCCUUGCUAGCAUAUGCUUGUGUUUAAUGCAGCGACCUGCUUCUGCAUGGUGUUGAUGGAGGAGAAGAGAGGACGAGAAAGGAGAAGACGAGAUGAGAGCAGAGCAAAUUCCCCUUCUACCCACCUAAGUUUACUUGUAAAUAUGGCCUCUCCUGGUAGCGCCCAGCUGGCGAGCUGCGAAUCGGCAGGGCAGAGGCAGGAGGCAGUGCCAGCUCUACUGGUGCAGAAAGGGGCACACCAGGCAGACAGGCCCAGUGUCAGCAGCAGCAGCAGCAUGCUAUCCCCCCGGCUGCCACAUUCACAGCACACACACAUAUGCCCGCGUAUAUAUUGCUGCAACUCAAACACAUGCACACCAGCGUCAGCGGACCAAUGCCACAUAGGUUUGGUCCGACUGGGACCUAGUUAACUGGGACAAAACAUUUGUUUACACACUAGACUAGUGCAAACAGGCACACAGCCACAUUUAGUCACACACAGUCUCAUGGCAGGAAAAUUCACAAGAAGAAAAACACAGCUUUUCUUUGGUGCCGUUCACAGACUCCUAAGCGAUUAGUUUGAAAGCCCUGAUGUCAGCCUUGGGACCGUCGCGCCCCCUGGAGAAGUCUGAGCUGCACGAAGCAUGUAAUAGAGCACAUAGCGACACGCAUGUUAUUAGCUUGUAUUUUCCUAAGGGUCAACACUUGAAGCUCUUUGUAAUUAAGAAGAUUGAGAUGGGCCUCCUGCCUGUAGUCACCCCUUCUUACCUUUAGCCCGGGGUAUUUCUGUUUGUCAUGUGGCUACCGAUUUAGCUUGACCUUCCUUUAUUAACCCAUAAAACCCUGCUUCCCUGGGGUCAGCCUUACAGUAAUUAAGAUCAGCGGGAAGACGAGAGCACGUUGCACCUUGACUGACAAAACUUUAAAGCUGGUGCAUUCAAGUGGCUUGAAUUGAAAUGUCAAGAAACAACGCAACAAUACAUAUAUGUGACAUGAAUUUCAAUAGCGGCCACAGUGUCUUCAGACUCAGGAAUUCAUAUGGGAAUUGUUUGUCCCUGCAUAGUAAAAGGAUCUCGCUUAUUUGCAUAGUGUUUGAUUAUCAGGGUCUUGGGUAUUCAGCCAAACUUCCUUAUUUGUGUUUGUGCCUCUGUGUGUGUGUCUUCUGACCCCUUUCACACAGAGAGACCCCCAAUUGUGCUCUAGUAGCCAGCCGAGCUCAGUGAAGCAGAGCCUAUAUGCUCAGUGGCAUUUCACACACCCAAACGCGUGCAUGUAAACACACAUGAAUAUCAUUUAUCCAGCUGGGGUCCCAUGUGACACACACACACACACACAGAUGCACACAGACAUCGGUUUGGAUAUGGAAAUAAUAGUUGGGGUCUUAUCCCCUAAUGUACGCCUUUCAUAGCACCUCUGUGCAGCUGAAACCCCCUCAGCCCUGUUAUCAGUCCAACUCUUGCUCAACUCUGCAGGUCAGCCCACACUUUGCCUCCCCCAGGAUUUGAGGCACACUUCCGCCUUAAAAGUUGUACGCCACUACCUUUGAUAAUCAAGAUAGAAACUAAUUGAGCUCACCCAUGCAGAAGAUGCUCUCGCCUUUUUGCGCGCACACACUUUUUGAGGAGAUGGGGGCCGAUACUGUUUCAGCUCAUCCAGCUGUGAGAUUCUCCUUUCCCCUUUCCAGUCCUGCCAUCAUCUCACUAAUGGUGUUUCUAUCUCUUCUCCAUAGGAGGUAAAUGAAGCUUUUAAGCAGGGUGGAGGGAAGGGGGACCAGUGAAAAGAUUAAUUGACUUUCUGCAGAGCUUCACUUAUCCUCUACUGGCACCUUUGACUCAAAGGUGGGAGGUCAGGUCAUUCUUGAAAACAGCACUUCCACAGUGGGCAGACACUCAGUAGCUCACUCAAGGACACGUAUUACCAGGACUUGAACACUGGCUGGCUGAAGGCUGGCCCACUGCAAACCAGGGAUUAUGGCUCCAAAGGGACAACUUCUGAAAACAUGCUGUCAUGAUGUCUUCCUGGGACAGUUGAGUACUCCACAGCCAUCAUAAACACCUCUGAUGUUCCUCCUCUUAUGGGUCUGUAUUAACUUUCGGACUCCCCAGUUUCUUCAUUCCUCGCCGCUGAGCCAGGCUGGAGGACUGUACAGGCUCCAGGACCGGAGCAGGAGCACAGCGCCUCAGAGCAGAAUAGGUAGCAGACAGUGCCCCCUGGUGGAGUAAACAGAGACUGCAUUAUAUCGUCAUAACAUUAGCCUAAUAUGUCCAAAUGGUAGACAGCGCCUCCCUCGGGACAGACCGAGAAACAUACUUUACUAAUGCAUCAAUACAUCAAACAUCAAUACAUCAUACAUCAAUUCUGCCUUGAACACAAAUAGCAGCUCAUUGAGGGAACAGAAAUGCAGACACAUUUAAAACUCACACAUAUUGCACACAUACUAAGGCCAGUGAGCAGUGAACAGCAACUGACACAAAAUCUAGAUUUUGCUAGCUGAAAUGCCAGUUGUUUUUAACACCACAUAAACAACACAUAAACAUAUUUUUUUUGCUCUUACAAUAAUAUGGAUCUAUACUGAAUGUCUAUACUGAAUGUCAGAGAAUAACAAGUAUUUGGUAUGAUACACUCAUGAUGUUUGCUGUAUUCACACAUGCACACAGGUCUUACCUUGACAGUGAGUGCAUCCUGUCUGGUGAGGGGUCUGUCAGAUAGCUGGUCUCUGUCUACAAUCCAGGGGUGACGGAGAACCUGUCGGAAAUCACAGCAAAAAUGAUUUUUUAACGUAUUUUUCAAAAACUGCUCCAAACAGUGAUAUACCAACAAUACAGCAAGCUACCGUACCAUCCUGACUAUUUUAGCAGAAGGGAGAGAAUAUGGGAACAUGUGGGAGAAACGGGUUUUCAGAGUAAAUGGACAGAACAAGAGUAAAAACUAUAGAGCACACAAGUCAUAUUAAGGCAGUUUUACACUGACUUUUCUGUAUUAAAGAAUACAGUCUUCUCUGUUUGGAAA
Molecule: long non-coding RNA, 3491 nt
Organism: Scatophagus argus
Lineage: Eukaryota; Metazoa; Chordata; Actinopteri; Scatophagidae
Exons: 7
Source: RefSeq, a predicted model, not a curated record